UCCCCGGUCGUUCAAUGGUAGGACAGCAGGCUCUGAACCUGUCAAUGGAGGUUCAAAUCCUCCCCGGGGAUCCA
This 74-nucleotide transfer RNA is filed under the name Deltaproteobacteria bacterium. RNAcentral's name for it is "tRNA-Gln". It matches the Rfam family "tRNA". Rfam says of the family: Transfer RNA (tRNA) molecules are approximately 80 nucleotides in length. Their secondary structure includes four short double-helical elements and three loops (D, anti-codon, and T loops). Further hydrogen bonds mediate the characteristic L-shaped molecular structure. tRNAs have two regions of fundamental functional importance: the anti-codon, which is responsible for specific mRNA codon recognition, and the 3' end, to which the tRNAs corresponding amino acid is attached (by aminoacyl-tRNA synthetases). tRNAs cope with the degeneracy of the genetic code in two manners: having more than one tRNA (with a specific anti-codon) for a particular amino acid; and 'wobble' base-pairing, i.e. permitting non-standard base-pairing at the 3rd anti-codon position. The record is from RNAcentral. RNAcentral also lists the same sequence under 1 other name. Lineage: Bacteria; Pseudomonadati; Myxococcota; Myxococcia.